GACUACCAGGGUAUCUAAUCCUGUUUGCUCCCCACGCUUUCGUGCCUCAGCGUCAGUGUGGCCCCAGACCGCUGCCUUCGCCAUCGGUGUUCCUCCCGAUCUCUACGCAUUUCACCGCUACACCGGGAAUUCCACGAUCCUCUAGCCCACUCGAGUCUGGCCGUCUCAACCGCCGUUCCCAGGUUAAGCCCAGGGCUUUCACGGCUGACUGACCAAACCGCCUACGCACGCUUUACGCCCAGUAAUUCCGAUUAACGCUUGCACCCCCCGUAUUACCGCGGCUGCUGGCACGGAGUUAGCCGGUGCUUAUUCUGUGGGUAACGUCAGAGCAGGACACUGUUUGCAUCCUGCCGUUCCUCCCCACUUAAAGGGCUUUACAACCCGCAGGCCUUCUUCACCCACGCGGCAUUGCUGGAUCAGGCUUGCGCCCAUUGUCCAAUAUUCCCCACUGCAGCCUCCCGUAGG
This 465-nucleotide ribosomal RNA is filed under the name uncultured Gammaproteobacteria bacterium. RNAcentral's name for it is "partial 16S ribosomal RNA". Lineage: Bacteria; Pseudomonadati; Pseudomonadota; Gammaproteobacteria. The record is from RNAcentral.